Molecule: ribosomal RNA, 439 nt
Filed under: uncultured bacterium
Lineage: Bacteria
Description: partial 16S ribosomal RNA
Rfam family: Bacterial small subunit ribosomal RNA
Source: RNAcentral
CUACGGGCGGCUCCAGUGGGGAAUAUUGCACAAUGGAGGAAACUCUGAUGCAGCAACGCCGCGUGGAGGAUGACACAUUUCGGUGCGUAAACUCCUUUUAUAUGAGAAGAUAAUGACGGUAUCAUAUGAAUAAGCACCGGCUAACUCCGUGCCAGCAGCCGCGGUAAUACGGGGGGUGCAAGCGUUACUCGGAAUCACUGGGCGUAAAGAGCAUGUAGGCGGAUAGAAAAGUUGGAAGUGAAAUCCUGUGGCUUAACCAUAGAACUGCUUCCAAAACUCUCUAUCUAGAAUAUGGGAGAGGUAGAUGGAAUUUCUGGUGUAGGGGUAAAAUCCGUAGAGAUCAGAAGGAAUACCGAUUGCGAAGGCGAUCUACUGGAACAUUAUUGACGCUGAGAUGCGAAAGCGUGGGGAGCAAACAGGAUUAGAUACCCUCGUAGUC